Molecule: unclassified non-coding RNA, 533 nt
Filed under: Xanthidium antilopaeum var. antilopaeum
Lineage: Eukaryota; Viridiplantae; Streptophyta; Zygnematophyceae; Desmidiales; Desmidiaceae
Description: sequence contains ITS1, 5.8S rRNA gene and ITS2
Rfam family: 5.8S ribosomal RNA (bases 309-462)
Source: RNAcentral
GCUCCUAGUAAUACCCCUAAGUCGUGGGGUUGAGCACGCGAGCUUGCUUCGGCGGACGAUUUUCGUCGUGAUGGUUCUAUUCCAUGGUUCGUUUGGACCUGGAAUAUGGCAUUGCGAUAGACCGCCAGAGCACCUCCCCUUGGGUCCCCCGGAUGCUUUCGACAAUCUCGAACGCAUCGUCUGGGUGUGGCUGGAGGGCAACCUCGAAAACCCAAACAAAAUCAUGCAACCCCUUGUAUUUACCCGAUCGUCCUGAUCGUAUUGAAAACCGUGGCUAUCACAGCCUCCGUUUCGAAAUCAAACUGAAAAACUCUCAACAACGGAUAUCUUGGCUCUUGCAACGAUGAAGAACGCAGCGAAAUGCGAUACGUAGUGUGAAUUGCAGAAUUCCGUGAAUCAUCGAAUGUUUGAACGCAAAUUGCGCCCGAGGCUUCGGCCGAGGGCAUGUCUGCUUGAGCGCCGCUGGACACCCCUCGUCCCAACUUCUCGUCGUCACUAUGUGGGUGAUGAGAUGAGGACGGAUUGAUGGUCGC